GAUGAACGCUGGCGGCGUGCCUAAUACAUGCAAGUCGAGCGAACGGACGAGAAGCUUGCUUCUCUGAUGUUAGCGGCGGACGGGUGAGUAACACGUGGAUAACCUACCUAUAAGACUGGGAUGACUUCGGGAAACCGGAGCUAAUACCGGAUAAUAUUUUGAAUCGCAUGGUUCAAAAGUGAAAGACGGUCUUGCUGUCACUUAUAGAUGGAUCCGCGCUGCAUUAGCUAGUUGGUAAGGUAACGGCUUACCAAGGCAACGAUGCAUAGCCGACCUGAGAGGGUGAUCGGCCACACUGGAACUGAGACACGGUCCAGACUCCUACGGGAGGCAGCAGUAGGGAAUCUUCCGCAAUGGGCGAAAGCCUGACGGAGCAACGCCGCGUGAGUGAUGAAGGUCUUCGGAUCGUAAAACUCUGUUAUUAGGGAAGAACAUAUGUGUAAGUAACUGUGCACAUCUUGACGGUACCUAAUCAGAAAGCCACGGCUAACUACGUG
RNAcentral lists this ribosomal RNA (497 nucleotides) under uncultured bacterium. RNAcentral describes it as "partial 16S ribosomal RNA". It matches the Rfam family "Bacterial small subunit ribosomal RNA", at positions 28 to 507 of the family's 1533-position model. The record is from RNAcentral.